RNAcentral lists this small RNA (517 nucleotides) under Pan troglodytes (chimpanzee). RNAcentral's name for it is "retained intron". Lineage: Eukaryota; Metazoa; Chordata; Mammalia; Primates; Hominidae. The record is from RNAcentral.
GGGACCUUCUCGCACAUCCCUCCUUCUCCCUGGACCUCUCUUCACUCCCCUAGCCCCUGCCCGUGGUCUCCCUGUUUCUCAAACACCUGGUCCCCUUCCCCGUGAAGGUGGCUCCAAGGCUGGCAGCCCUGGUGUCCCUGGCUGGGGAGCAGUGGACCUGCCCCAGAGCUGUGGCUGUGGUGGGCUCCGGGCAGGGCCAGGGGGCACUGUGGCCUGGGAGGGGGCACUGAUGCCCGGCCUCUUGCCAGCCCUCCCCCAACAGCACCAACUUGCUGCCCACGGAGAUCAGCCAGUCCCUGCUGUACCGGGGGCCCGUGGACCCUGCCAACUGGUUUGGGGUGCGGAAAGGGUUCCCCAACCUGGGCUACAUCCAGGUGAGUUGAGGGGCUGGUGGGCGGCUGGGCGGGCGAGUACCCGGCUGCCCCCUGACCCUUGCCCUCCGCAGAACCACCUGCAAGUGCUGCUGCUGCUGGUAUUCGAGGCCAUCGUGUACCGGCGCCAGGAGCACUACCGCCGG